Molecule: unclassified non-coding RNA, 306 nt
Filed under: plant metagenome
Description: partial contains 5.8S ribosomal RNA, internal transcribed spacer 2, and large subunit ribosomal RNA
Rfam family: 5.8S ribosomal RNA (bases 1-105)
Source: RNAcentral
GAAAUGCGAUAAGUAAUGUGAAUUGCAGAAUUCAGUGAAUCAUCGAAUCUUUGAACGCACAUUGCGCCCGCCAGUAUUCUGGCGGGCAUGCCUGUCCGAGCGUCAUUUCAACCAUCAAGCCCCCGGGCUUGUGUUGGGGACCUGCGGCUGCCCGCAGGCCCUGAAAACCAGUGGCGGGCUCACUGUCACACCGAGCGUAGUAGCAAUCACCUCGCUCAGGGCGGGCUGCGGGUUCCGGCCGUUAAACAGCCUUACAAAACCCAAGGUUGACCUCGGAUCAGGUAGGAAGACCCGCUGAACUUAAGC